GGCAGUUUCUGGAAAAACAUUUUUCUUUACAUUUCAUCUAUUUACAAUAUAAUGGAAAUCAGUAUGAGCUUAGCUGUUAGUUUUCAGCGUUAACAAAAA
Drosophila navojoa is the source of this 99-nucleotide long non-coding RNA. NCBI's taxonomy places the organism in Eukaryota, Metazoa, Arthropoda, Insecta, Diptera, Drosophilidae. The record is from RefSeq and is a predicted model, not a curated record.